This is a long non-coding RNA of Juglans microcarpa x Juglans regia, 710 nucleotides long. RefSeq lists it as uncharacterized. NCBI's taxonomy places the organism in Eukaryota, Viridiplantae, Streptophyta, Magnoliopsida, Fagales, Juglandaceae. The record is from RefSeq and is a predicted model, not a curated record. The transcript is spliced from 4 exons.
AGCCCUGAAGCACGAAGCCCAAAAAAUAAGGACGCCGGUUGGUAAGUUUUUUUUUUUUUUUUACCCCUUCCAGUUUCUUCUUCCUCCCCUCAUCCCUGACUUUCUCUACAUCAUUCCCAGAUUCCCUCCCCCGUUUUUCCCUCCCUGAUCUCACCACUAUCACAUCUCGGCAGUUUCAUUUUAUUUCUUCCUCACAUUUUUUUUCCCCUCUCGACAGACCCUCGCACUUCCUUUCUCUCCUACAGAUUUCGUGUGUUGCAGUUCGUGGGUUUCUUGAGUCUCAAUGACGCCGGCGACCUCUCGCCGGACUCUUGUGGAUGACGAUCACUGCGCCGUGGCACAAAUUAGACCAGAUUAGAUAAGGUGAUUUUCUCACAAUCGGAAAUUUCAGAUUUGUCGCCUCGCUUAGUAUUACCAUCGUGCUUGGUGGAAAGAGACAUUUGUUUUUCAUCCUUGUUUGAAGGGCUACAAGAUGAUUUAGGCGAUACGCUUGGUGAUCAAGUUCGGCAAGAUUGGCUGGUUGUGGGAAGUUGAGUGAGUACCUAAGGGUAUUUUCAUUAUUUGAGAGUUAUCUUAUGAAUAGUUGGAUUUUAGUAUGAGAAAUUUGAUGAAUAGAGACUUUCGAAUUUCUGGUUUUUAUGUUUUGAUUAAUUAAGGAAUACCUUGUAGAGGAAUUUAUGUGGUUGAACUCAAUGGAUAAGUUUAUGUUU